Long non-coding RNA from Pan troglodytes (chimpanzee), 292 nucleotides. RefSeq lists it as uncharacterized. NCBI's taxonomy places the organism in Eukaryota, Metazoa, Chordata, Mammalia, Primates, Hominidae. The transcript has 2 exons. The record is from RefSeq and is a predicted model, not a curated record.
AGCCCGGAUCUUAGGGUACUACCUGGGGUUGGGGGUGAUUUGUCUCACCAUAGUAGAAAAUCUGGAGGGUGUAGCGUGCUUGGAAGCAGGGGAAGAGGCACCAAAAGAAGAGAUCUGCAAGAAAUACAUCUACCAGCUGGGUGCAGUUGAACAAAAUCAUUACAGGAUUAGCAGUUUUCUGACCCACUUACUAAAAAGAAGCUGAAUCACUGAAUCGAGACCCCAGGGAAAUGCAGAUUUAUACCUUUGAUGUAUUUCUUGAUUUUUCUUAAAUUAAAUUCUAUAAUCAGUU